This 423-nucleotide ribosomal RNA is filed under the name uncultured bacterium. RNAcentral's name for it is "partial 16S ribosomal RNA". It matches the Rfam family "Bacterial small subunit ribosomal RNA", at positions 360 to 775 of the family's 1533-position model. The record is from RNAcentral.
AAUAUUUGACAAUGGGGGCAACCCUGAUCCAGCCAUGCCGCGUGUGUGAAGAAGGUCUNCGGAUUNUNAAGCACUUUAAGUUGGGNGGAAGGGCUUUCGGCUACUACCCUGAAGUCUUGACGUUACCAACAGAAUACGCACCGGCUAACUCUUAGCCAGCAGCCGCGGUACAACAGAGGGUGCAAGCGUUAAACGGAAUUACUGGGCGUAAAGGGCGCGUAGGUGGUUCAGUAAGAUGGGUGUGAAAUCCCCGGGCUUAACCUGGGAACUGCUUUCAUAACUGCUGAGCUAGAGUACGGUAGAGGGAAGUGGAAUUUCCUGUGUAGCGGUGAAAUGCGUAGAUAUAGGAAGGAACACCAGUGGCGAAGGCGACUACCUGGACUGAUACUGACACUGAGGUGCGAAAGCGUGGGGAGCAAACAG